AUUUUCGUUGUGCUGACUUUUUCAAUCACUUACAAUAACUCGUACUGCGUUCUAGCUAGCACGACGGAGUUUCUAUACAGCUGUGUGCGCAUGUUGAACUUUAUGACAGCCUCCCCUGUCAUUCUCUCGCCUGUUGAAACUUCAGUCAUGAAACUGAUCAAUGAUCGGCGUUUCUCUCUUGUUUGUUUAUCGCGCAAAACAACAGCAGCACGUUUAAGCUUGAUCAGCUGUUGUUCGAAUUCAUUUCCUUUUAAUUUCUGGUAUCAGCUGAUGUUUGCUGGAGCUACAGCUGUAAAAACGGCACAUGUCCUUACUGAAUCAUCGGAGCUGAACUGGUGAUGGAGAAACAGGUUUACUCUUUAGGUGACAUGAAUAAGUUGAAGGGAAGUUAUGAACUAUUUUUGAGAGACAAAUACAGGGAGUGCAGAAUUAUUAGGCAAGUUGUAUUUUUGAGGAAUAAUUUUAUUAUUGAACAACAACCAUGUUCUCAAUGAACCCAAAAAAACUCAAUAUCAAAGCUGAAAGUUUUUGGAAGUAGUUUUUAGUUUUAGCUAUUUUAGGGGGAUAUCUGUGUGUGCAGGUGACUAUUACUGUGCAUAAUUAUUAGGCAACUUAACAAAAAACAAAUAUAUACCCAUUUCAAUUAUUUAUUUUUACCAGUGAAACCAAUAUAACAUCUCCACAUUCACAAAUAUACAUUUCUGACAUUCAAAAACAAAACCAAAACAAAUCAGCGACCAAUAUAGCCACCUUUCUUUGCAAGGACACUCAAAAGCCUGCCAUCCAUGGAUUCUGUCAGUGUUUUGAUCUGUUCACCAUCAACAUUGCGUGCAGCAGCAACCACAGCCUCCCAGACACUGUUCAGAGAGGUGUACUGUUUUCCCUCCUUGUAAAUCUCACAUUUGAUGAUGGACCACAGGUUCUCAAUGGGGUUCAGAUCAGGUGAACAAGGAGGCCAUGUCAUUAGUUUUUCCUUCUUUUAUACCCUUUCUUGCCAGCCACGCUGUGGAGUACUUGGACGCG
This is a long non-coding RNA of Oreochromis aureus, 1023 nucleotides long. Lineage: Eukaryota; Metazoa; Chordata; Actinopteri; Cichliformes; Cichlidae. The record is from Ensembl.